AAGACAGUGCACCACAAUCCAGGGGAUUUCAUUCCAGGGAUACAAGGUUGGUUCAACAUAUGGAAAGCAAUAAUUAUAAUUCACCACAUAAAUAGACUUAAAGACAGUAAUCACAUGAUUAUCUCAAUAGAUGCAGAAAAAGCAUUUGAAAAAUAUAAAAGCAUCCAUUCAUGUUUAAAACAUGAGAAAAAUUAUGGAUAGUAGGAAUAUACAUCAACAUUGUAGGAGCAAUAUACAACAAACCUAAGGCCAACAUUUUUCUAAAUGAAGAAAACUAACAACUUGUUCCUCUAACAACUGGAACAAGACAGGGAUGUCCUCUUUCACUACUUCUGUUCACUGUGGUCCUUGAAACUCCAGCCAUAGCAUUUAGGCAAAAGAAAGAAAUGAAAGGGAUAUGAAUAGGAAAAGAAGAGCUCAAACUCUCUCUGUUUGCCCAUGACACGAUCCUAUAUUUAGAAGACCCCCAAAUUAUUCCACCAGAAAACUUAUAGAACUUAUAAUUGAAUUCAGCAAAAUAGCAGGAUACAAAAUUAACACCCAUAAAUCAAUUGCAUUCCUAUAUAGCAGUGAUGAAUCAGCUAAAAGAGAAAUUAGGGAAACUAUCCCAUUCACAAUAGUAAAAAAAAAAAAAUACUUGGGGAUCAAUCUAACAAGAGGUGAAAUACCUCUACAAUGAAAACUACAGAACCCUAAAGAAAGAAAUUGAAGAAAACCUUAGAAGAGAGAAAGAUCUCCCAUUUUCUUGGAUAGUCAGAAUGAAUAUUGUCAAAACGGCCAUAAUAUUAAAAGUACCAUACAGAUUUAAUACAAUUCCUAUUGAAAUUCCAAUGACAUUUUUCAUAGAAAUAGAAAAAGCAGUUAUGAAAUUCAUUUGGAAAAAUAAGAGGCCCAGAAUAACCAAAGCAAUCCUUAGCAAGAAAAGUGAAGAAGACAGUAGAAUGAAUUGGACAUAACUUUCCUAUGUUCCGACAGGAAUACAUGACCAGUGUAAUUCCACAUCAUGUACAACCACAAGAAUGGGAAUUUAUACUCCACGUAUGUAUAAUAUGUCAAAGUACAUUCUACUGUUUUGUAUAACUAAAAAUAAUGAAGAAGAAGAAAAAAAAAAGGCCAUGAAACAGGAGAAAUCACAAUAUCAGACCUUAGAUUAUACUACAGAGCCAGACCUUAGAUUAUACUACAGAGCUGUAAUAACAAAACCAGCAUGGUAUUGGCACCAAAACACACAUGAAGGUCAAUGGAAUAGAAGACACAGAGAAAAACCCACAUAAAUAGUUAUCUUCAACUAGACAAAGGCUCCAAAAACAUAUAUUGGAGAAAAGAUAGCCUCUUCAGCAAAUGGUGCUGGGAAAACUGGAAAUCUAUAUGUAAUGGAAUGAAGUUUAACGUCUCUCAUCAUGCACAAAACUCAAAGUGGAUCAAAGAGCUAGUCAUUAGACCAGAGGCCCUGCACCUACUAGAAGAAAAUGUAGGCCCGCCACUUCAACAUGUUGGCUUAUGAACUGAUUUCCUCAACGUGAUUCCUAAAAUGCAAGAAGUAAAUUAAAAAAUCAGUAAAUGGGGUGGCAUCAAAUUAACAAGUUUCUUCACAGCAAAGGAAAUGAGUUCGAAAAGAGAGCCUACAUAAUGGGAGACAAUCUUUGCCACCUGCAUUAAUUUCUAGGGUAUACAAAGAACUCAAAAAGCUUAACACCAGAGGCUGCGGAUGUGGCUCAAGCGGUAGCGCGCUCGCCAGGCAUACGUGCGGCCCGGGUUCGAUCCUCAGCACCACGUAACAAACGAAGAUUUAAAAAAAAAAAAAAAAGCUUAACACCAAUAACACAAAUAAUCCAAUCAAAAAUGGGCAAAGGAGGGCUGGGGAUGUGGCUCAAGCGGUAGCGCACUCACCUGGCAUGCGCAGGGCGCUGGGUUCGAUCCUCAGCACAUAAAAAUAAAAUAAAGAUGUUGUGUCCACCGAAAACUAAAAAAAUAAAUAUUAAAAAACUCACUCUUUUUUAAAAAAAAUGGGCAAAGGAACUAAACAGACACUUCUCAAAAGAAAAAAAUAUGAUUGGUCAGCAUCUCUAGCUUAGAGAAAUGUAAAUUAAAAGUACAUUGAGAUUUUGUCUCACUCCAAUCAGAAUAGCAAUUACCUCUUGGUAAUUACAAGUAAAAAUGUUGGCAAGGACUUCUGGAAAAGGGUACACUUAUACAUUGCUGGUGGGACUGCAAAUUGAUGCAACCACUAUGGAAAACAGUAUGGAGAUUCCUCAAAACACUAGACUGGAACCAUUUGACCCAAUUAUCCUACUCUUCAGUAUGUAUUUAGAGGAGAUAAAAUCAGCAUAAUACAGUGACACAGUCACAUCAAUGUUUAUAGCAGCACAAGUCAAAAUAACUAAGCUAUGUAACCAGCCUACAUGUCCAUUAACAGAUGAAUGGAUAAAGAUUUUGUGGUAUAUAUACACAAUGGAUUAUUAUUCAACCAUAAAGAAGAAUGAUUUUAUGACAUUCAUCAGUAAAUGGGUGAACCUGGAUACCAUCAUGGUAAGUAAAUAAACCAAUACUCCAAAACCAAAGGGCGAAUGUUCUUUCUGAUAAACAUUUCUUGUACAAUUAUAAUGCACAGAUAAAAAUAUGGAAAAUAUAGUCAGACAGUAAAAAGUGUGUAUAAUUAUCCCAUAAAAAUAUUACAAUUAUGUCAAAACAAAAAAAAAACUAAUAAAAUGUUUUGCUCUGUGAAAGAUUCUGUUAAGAUGAUGAAGUUUGGGCUGGGGAUGUGGCUCAAGCGGUAGUGCGCUCGCCUGGCAUGCACGGGGCGCUGGGUUCAAUCCUCAGCACCACAUAAAAAAAAAAUAAAGAUGUUGUGUCCACUGAAAACUAAAAUAUAAAUAUUAAAAAUUUCUCUCUCUCUCUUAUACAAAAAAAAAAAGAUGAUGAAGUUUCAUACAGAGAGAAAAUAUUUGCAAGCUACGGAUCCAAUUAAGGACAAGAAUCUAGAAUAUAAAAAAUAUUCUCAAAACUAACCAACAAACUCUAAUUAAAAUAGGCAAAAGGCAUGAAGAGGCAUUUCACCAAAGGAUAUACAGAUGGUAAAUAAGUACACAAAAAGAUGUUCAACAUCAUCAGCCAUUAGAGAAAUACAAGUUAAAAACCACCAUGAGGUAUCAUCACACACCUUUUGGAAUGGCUAAAAUGAAAAAGUGACAUCAUCAAACAUUAGUGGGGAUGCAGAGAAACUGGAUCACUAUACAUUGCUUGUGAGGAUGGAAAAUUGUGCAGCCACUCUGGAAAACACUUUGGCAGUUCUUUUAAAAUUACCAAACAUGCACCUACCAUGCAACCCACUAAUUCCUGGGUAAUAAAACGCAAAGACAUAAAAACAUGUCUGAAAUGUUAUAGCAAUUUAACUUGUAAUAGCUAAAAAUUGGAAACCAUUCAGAUGUCAUUCAACAGAUGACUGCUUCAAUAAACUGAUAUAUCUGUGAAACACUAUUCAGCAAUAAAAAGCAAACUUUUGCUUUAUUUAUUUAUUUAUUUAUUUUUGUGUGUGUGCCGGAAUCAUAUCCAGGGUCUCGUGAGUGCUAAGCACAUAUUCUUCCACUGAGCUGCAUCCUCAACCCAGCAUGUGUUUGAGUGUGUUUCUGGAUUUUCAUUGUCUGUACAUAUAUUCAUGUACAGGUACCACACUGUGUUAAUAGUUGAUACAGUUAAUUCUCUCAUUGUGCUUUUUUCAGAAUGGUACUAUAGCACAGAAUUAGCAUCUCAACCAACAACCUGGUCACACUUCUAAAAUUCCCACUUGUGGCUCUUUCUGAGUUUUCUAUUCAGUUCCAUUGAUCUGUUUGCAUGUUCUUAUAAAAUUACCUUACUAUUUAAAUUUUCAUAGUGUUAUAAUUUAAUAUUAUAAAGUAUUUAUAAUAUACAUAUAUUUUAAUAUAUAUAUUUAAUAUGUGAUAAUACUGUCUAGUAAUGUGUAAUAUAUAGCAUUAAUAUAUGUAAUAAAAUAUUAAAUCUCAUAGGAUCAGUGCAUUUUUUGGUAAAAAUUUAGAGACAUAGAAUACAAUGUUAAAGCUUUCUUUACUGAUCACAUCUCACCCCAUUUUGCUCCCCCAAGAUAAUUCUUCACAGAUGAUUUAUAUCCUUAAGACUUAAUCUUUUAUUCAUGCAUUUAAUAUCAAUACACUUAUAUAUGUGUAUCAGACACAUAUAUAAGUGUAUUGAGUUCAUUUUCUGAUAACACUAAUGACAUCAUAAUACAACCAUUUUUUUAAAUACAAAAUACCAUCAAUAAUAAUAAUGUACCACAUGCUGCCAAGAAGAGAAUAUACUGCCUGUUAAAUAUGACCCAAUGCUAUCUUUUCACUAAAUUUUUAUUUUACACUUAUUGAAAGAGUUUUAGACUCUUUUACAUGUAGUUUUUUCUUUCUUUCUUUUUUUUGUGUGUGUGUUUGUGUGUGUCCUAUCUCAUGUUCCUGUGAGAUGGAAAAUAUAAAUGAAAUCAGUUAAUUGUUAAUUAAUAAAUUUGUUAAUGUUCAAAAUGGUACUCUCCUGAGUGACUUCU
This 4546-nucleotide long non-coding RNA is filed under the name Marmota monax (woodchuck). Lineage: Eukaryota; Metazoa; Chordata; Mammalia; Rodentia; Sciuridae. The record is from RNAcentral.